Molecule: long non-coding RNA, 2508 nt
Filed under: Trifolium pratense (red clover)
Lineage: Eukaryota; Viridiplantae; Streptophyta; Magnoliopsida; Fabales; Fabaceae
Description: long non-coding RNA (TPRA_LNC011021)
Source: RNAcentral
ACGUAAUCAUUGUCUCGGAAACAUGGAUUGUUCUCCUUCAUUGUGCCCCUUGCUUAAUAUGAAAGCAAUUUGUAGUAGUUAUAGUUGUAUUUGCAUCAAAGUCUACCCCAAUUAAGUUAAAAUAUAAUUAUAUGUUACUUAUACUUCUACAAUUUUACUUAUUACACGUUAAAAUAUUGUCACUUCUAUGAUUGCUUGCACAUAUUGAUUAUUAUUUUGAUUAUUAUUACUUAAACCUUUCAAUUUUAUUGUAAUGCUCUGAAGCGUAGACCAAACGAUAAUUCCUUAGAUUAAAAAAAAAAAGUAGUACAAGAAAUUAAAAUAUUUGAAAGCAAAUUAAAAGAAGAAUAUAUUUUUAUAUAAAAUCACCCUAGAAUCAUAUAUUUCAUCAGAAGCACAUAAUGCUAACCCCAUCUUCUUUCCCUUGUCAUGAAAAACAAUUUCUAAUCAAAUUUCAAGGUAAUGAAAUGAACCAACAUAGCAAAUGUUUUCUCUCUCGAAACAAUUAACGGAACAUUCUUCAUAUGCGUGUUAGAAAUCCUCGCAUAUGUCAAGGACAUGAUACUUGGACAUAUCAUAUAGUUUCAGACAUACCUCAACUUCACCUCUUGGUCUUAUUGUCAAGGAAGGUUUUAAAUUGCGUUCCGCAUUCGCAAUUGCGGCCGUGGUAUUGCUGAUGUGGUAGCCUCUGUAACCGCAUCACACCAUAAUUAUGGUGUGAUCUUAAUUCACGUGUACGACCGCAUCACAACUGCAUCAGAAGCCGCGUCAGACGUUUUCGGCGAUGUUCGUUCAAAUUUUCUCACCAAAAAAUAAAAUUUAUGAACUUCAAAUUCUAAUUUGUGUCAAAUCUAAUGAAAAAUCUUACUUUUAAUGAUCUCUCAACCGUGUAUUUUAAGAACAUUCAAAUUCGUGUUUAUAGAAUAAACUAAGGGUCUGUUUGGUAAAAAUAAGCUAUAAGCUAGCUGAUAGCUGAUAAGCUAGCUGAUAGCUGAAAAGCUAGCUUAUAGCUGAUAGCUGAAAAGCUAGCUUAUUGAAAUUAAANNNNNNNNNNNNNNNNNNNNNNNNNNUACAUAAUUGAUAGUGGGUAGUUUAUUUUUUAGAUGGGUAGUUAUUAAAUUAAAGGGUAAAAAUGGAAUAAAGUGUAAAAAGCUAUAAGCUAUAAGCUCAAAUGCUACUUGAAAUAGCAUCUGGAAAAAAGCUAUAAGCUAGUACAAAAAGCUUGUUACCAAACACCUCUAAUUUUUUGAAACAAGCUUAUAAGCUCAUAUAAUAAGCUAUAAGCUAGCUUAUUUGUGUUACCAAACAGAGCCUAAGACUAUGCAAUGGUGGAUAAAUUGUGUAGUUACAUAGUAGUUUCAUUAUAUAUAGCUUGUGAAAUUUCAAAAUGAUUUCACGCCGCAACAGCCGCAUGUUGGAACAACAUUGGUUCUAAAGCCCCAAGUUUUAAAUCUAUAAAGUUUUGAUGAUAACAAUAAGUAUUAAAUGUAAAAUUGGAAGUACUAAUUUUUUCAAUCUAGUGUGCAGGACCAUUAUAAGCAAACUCUGAAAACCUUAAGUUCUGAAGAAAACAAACAUGCUCUGAAAAGGCAUGCUCUGAUAAGGUUUCAGAAGCAAGGAUGUUCUGAGAGUUUUUUGACUCAUAAGCAAAAAGUCUUCAGAAGAUGAUCAGUUCUCUGUGCAAUGAUAAGUUGCUUUCAUGACAGUCAAUUUCAGAGAACGUUGGAGCCAAGUUAAAAGGAACUUACUCGGAUAUCGUAUAAGGAAUUCAAAAUGGAUAAUCAAGCUUAUCAACCUUAUUCCAAUGUUGGGUGAACGCAGAAGUCAAACUGUGAAAGUUUCUCUGUUUGAUAUAAACAUCUUCUGUAGUGACAAAGUAGAGGAACCUCACUACCACUUUGGUAUGUCAUGUUUCUUUCAUCUCCAGACUGCCAAGAAAACGUUAACUGGCUACCUGAUCCUUGCACAACGGUCAUAUCUACAUGGAGCGUACUCCUUGAACUAUAUAUACAACACUCCAUCGUGAAGACCCGUGACAAAAAACGCUAUCUAUUAAUUGCACACUCUCUCUGAGAACCUUUGAAUCUCAUUCAUAUCAAAAUACUUUGAAGUCUGUAUCUACUCAUUGUAUUUUUAGCUUUAAGGUUUCAUUAGUGCUCUGUAUUAUUACAACAAACUUUAUUUAUUCUUAAGUUUGAGAAGUCUCUUGCUGUGUGCUUGAGCAUUGUGUAGAAGUCUCUUGCUGUGUGCUUGAGCAUUUGUAAUCUUGUGUGAUUAUAGUGGAACUCCCUUGAAAGUGCAAGGGGACUGGACUACUCUCAUUUUGUGAGAGGAACCAGUAUAAAAUUUGUGGACUACUCUCAUUUAGUCUUAAUUUAUUCCAUAAACAUUAGUUUGAAUGUUGUUAACAUAUACAGUUAAGAGAUUGUUAAAAGUAAGAUUUUUCAUUUGAUUUGACAUAGUUAAGAUUUGAAGUUCAUAAAUUUUAUUUUUAAAAUUUGAACAAAC